UAUAUUUCCCUGUGCUUGGGAAGAGACUGAGAAAAGCUGUGGUCUGCGACAUCACCACUGAAAGUGAUAGGUAAAGAUAGCACAGAGUUUAAUAGCAGAGUAUUCAACAGCAGCAGCAACUCAAGCAAUAUGGACAUUGUUAAGUAGGUUCCAGAACACAAUGAAUUGGCUGAUUAGUGGGUUGACUAAAACAAGUUGUUUUAAUGAUAUAUAAACAAGUACCAUUUACUGAUUUCCUGCUCUAAAAUAACACCUAGCAGGAGAGCUAAAUAUCCUGCUAGGUGGAGAAAGAACUACAAUCAAGAAGGGGCUGGCCCAUAGGCAAGAGUAACUGGAGACACUCUGUGACUAUGCUCACCAAUGGACCCAUUUUUCAGAUUCAUGAACAAAGCAUUUUUUCUCUACUGCUACUACAGGAGGCAGAUCUGUGAAGGGGCAAAGAGAAAUGAACACAUUGUUUAGUUUGGAGGACCACAUUUUCAGAGAGAAAUUAACAAAUUGGAGAAUAUCCAGGGGAAGGUCAUGAGAAUCAUGAAAGAACGAUAGUCAUGACAAUGUGAGAAUAAGUGAAGAAAUGACAUGGGCUGUUUCCUAUCAAUUGGAGACGGAGGAUGCGGACUAAGGUCCAUUUCCAAUUUCAGUCUAGUUGGGAGGCAGGUGCCCAGGGCUCCAAAGAGCAAUUAACAUCCUGAUUGGAAGAGACAUCUGGUGUCAGCUACAAAAGGGCCUUGUGUCACAUCCAUUUGUGGAUCAAAUGGUUUCUCUCUGAAGGAGGAAAGGAAGGAGAAGGAAGCAGAGGAGCCUUGAAUGCAUAAUGACCCACCACAGCCAGAAAGAUGAAA
RNAcentral lists this long non-coding RNA (842 nucleotides) under Monodelphis domestica (gray short-tailed opossum). RNAcentral describes it as "lncRNA (ENSMODG00000042077.1)". The record is from RNAcentral. Lineage: Eukaryota; Metazoa; Chordata; Mammalia; Didelphimorphia; Didelphidae.